This 375-nucleotide ribosomal RNA is filed under the name uncultured bacterium. RNAcentral's name for it is "bacterial SSU rRNA". It matches the Rfam family "Bacterial small subunit ribosomal RNA", at positions 521 to 895 of the family's 1533-position model. The record is from RNAcentral.
UAAUACGAAGGGGGCUAGCGUUGUUCGGAAUUACUGGGCGUAAAGGGCGCGCAGGCGGUCUUCCAAGUCAGAUGUGAAAGCCCCGGGCUCAACCUGGGAACUGCAUUUGAGACUGGGGGACUUGAGUUCGGGAGAGGAGAGCGGAAUUCCCAGUGUAGAGGUGAAAUUCGUAGAUAUUGGGAAGAACACCGGUGGCGAAGGCGGCUCUCUGGACCGAUACUGACGCUGAGGCGCGAAAGCGUGGGGAGCAAACAGGAUUAGAUACCCUGGUAGUCCACGCCGUAAACGAUGUGCGCUAGACGUUGGGAGACCUAGUCUCUCGGUGUCGCAGCUAACGCGUUAAGCGCACCGCCUGGGGAGUACGGCCGCAAGGUU